GGUGGUAUAGCCAAGCGGUAAGGCGCUGGGCUGUAAAACCUUUAUCCUCGGUUCAAUUCCGAGCACCACCU
This 71-nucleotide transfer RNA is filed under the name Domibacillus iocasae. It matches the Rfam family "tRNA". From Rfam's summary of the family: Transfer RNA (tRNA) molecules are approximately 80 nucleotides in length. Their secondary structure includes four short double-helical elements and three loops (D, anti-codon, and T loops). Further hydrogen bonds mediate the characteristic L-shaped molecular structure. tRNAs have two regions of fundamental functional importance: the anti-codon, which is responsible for specific mRNA codon recognition, and the 3' end, to which the tRNAs corresponding amino acid is attached (by aminoacyl-tRNA synthetases). tRNAs cope with the degeneracy of the genetic code in two manners: having more than one tRNA (with a specific anti-codon) for a particular amino acid; and 'wobble' base-pairing, i.e. permitting non-standard base-pairing at the 3rd anti-codon position. The record is from Rfam by way of RNAcentral. Lineage: Bacteria; Bacillati; Bacillota; Bacilli; Caryophanales; Bacillaceae.